RNAcentral lists this ribosomal RNA (1098 nucleotides) under Rotaria rotatoria. RNAcentral describes it as "eukaryotic LSU rRNA". It matches the Rfam family "Eukaryotic large subunit ribosomal RNA", at positions 65 to 910 of the family's 3401-position model. Lineage: Eukaryota; Metazoa; Rotifera; Eurotatoria; Philodinida; Philodinidae. The record is from RNAcentral.
UCAUCUGAGAUUGCCUUUCUAAUGGCCAAUGAACCGGAAAAAGGUCAUUGCUGAAGCGUGUUAAAUUCACUUUUGACAUGCAUUGUAGCCUUUAGGGUAACUAUUGUAUGGUGCCUGUUCGUGUGAGUUCCUUUGAUCAGGGCUUUAACCAUAGAAGGUGCUAGUCCUAUAAUCACGAAUAGUUGUGCUGUACAUUGUAUACCUUUCGAGUAGCGUAAUUUGAGAUUGCUACGCCAACGUGGGACGUAAACUUGUUCCAAAGCUAAAUAUUAUAACGAGACCGAUAGCGAACAAGUACCGUGAGGGAAAGUUGAAAAGCACUCUGAAGAGAGAGUUAAAUAGUACGUAAAACCGUACAGAAGAAAACGAAUGGCCGCAUUCAUCAGAUUACUUUGAAUUCAAUUCGAUCUCUAUAUGAUGGUGAUACAUGUUGAUUUCGAACUUCAACAGUCGAUCGAUAUGUUAUUGCCUGGAGUCGGAUGCAUUUUCAAAGUAUUAACUGAACCUGGAUCUAUAACAUUGAAAGCUAGUCGAAUCAGUCUAUUUUGGUGGCGAGUUUACUCGUGUUAAAAAUAUGACUUGCAUAAAUAACAAAUUCGACUUGGCGUUAUAGGUAAACAGACAAGUUCUUUGAUUUCAGUACUUUCGAGUACGGCAUACUAUAUGCAUUGUUGGUGUCACAUGAGUAACUAAUAUUUAACCGAUAUUAGUUUUAUUCAUUGUCGGUGCCUAAUGUUGUAUGGUUGUCAAUGAAAUCGGCAAGUCUACAGGAGUUUUGAAUGCCGAGUUAUUCGACCCGUCUUGAAACACGGUCUAAGGAGUUCACUGCAUGUGCAAGAGUUCGGCUGUAUGAAAAGCCUUGCUCGUAAUGAAAGUAAAGAACAUUCUUGCAAUGUUUUAAGUGUGAUUUCUGUCAUCUGGUGCAAAUCAUGACAAUGAACGCAACACUGACAGGUUCUAUUGCCGUUGGCAAAGAGCUUAGUAAGAGUAUAUGCAAUGAGACCCGAAAGAUGGUGAACUUAAUGUGUGUAGAAUGAAGCCAGGGGAAACCCUGGUGGAAGUUCGUAGCGGUUCUGACGUGCAAAUCGAUCGUCAAAC